Molecule: ribosomal RNA, 263 nt
Filed under: uncultured bacterium
Lineage: Bacteria
Description: partial 16S ribosomal RNA
Rfam family: Bacterial small subunit ribosomal RNA
Source: RNAcentral
CUUAGUGGCGGACGGGUGAGUAACGCGUGGGCAACCUGCCCCGUGCCGGGGGAUACCGCCUGGAAACAGGCGCUAAUACCGCAUAAGCGCACAGUGUCGCAUGAUACAGUGUGAAAAACUCCGGUGGUACAGGAUGGACCCGCGUCUGAUUAGCUGGUUGGCGGGGUAACGGCCCACCAAGGCGACGAUCAGUAGCCGGCCUGAGAGGGUGAACGGCCACAUUGGGACUGAGACACGGCCCAAACUCCUACGGGAGGCAGCAG